CCUACGGGAGGCAGCAGUGAGGAAUAUUGGUCAAUGCACGAGAGUCUGAACCAGCCAAGUAGCGUGAAGGAUGACUGCCCUAUGGGUUGUAAACUUCUUUUAUAUGGGAAUAAAAUGUUCCACGUGUGGGAUUUUGUAUGUACCAUAUCAAUAAGGACAGGCAAAUUCCGGGCCAGCCGCCGCGGUAAUACGGAGGAUCCGAGCGUUAUCCGGAUUUAUUGGGUUUAAAGGGAGCGUAGGUGGAUUGUUAAGUCAGUUGUGAAAGUUUGGGGCUCAACCGUAAAAUUGCAGUUGAAACUGGCAGACUUGAGUACAGUAGAGGUGGGCGGAAUUCGUGGUGUAGCGGUGAAAUGCUUAGAUAUCACGAAGAACUCCGAUUGCGAAGGCAGUUCACUGGACUGCAACUGACACUGAGGCUCGAAAGUGUGGGUAGCAAACAGGAUUAGAUACCCCGGUAGUC
Molecule: ribosomal RNA, 460 nt
Filed under: uncultured bacterium
Lineage: Bacteria
Description: partial 16S ribosomal RNA
Rfam family: Bacterial small subunit ribosomal RNA
Source: RNAcentral